RNAcentral lists this long non-coding RNA (514 nucleotides) under Vigna radiata. Its description in RNAcentral is "long non-coding RNA (VRAD_LNC018578)". Lineage: Eukaryota; Viridiplantae; Streptophyta; Magnoliopsida; Fabales; Fabaceae. The record is from RNAcentral.
CUUAACUGUAUAUGUUGAAAAGGUUCAAGUUUGGGGUUGCAUGGGGGAAGUUGAAAAGCAGUUGAAAAGCAUUGAGCUCAAAUGUUGAAAAAGAAAAGUGCAAGAGAAAAAGAAAAGAAAAGAAGAAAAACAUGAAGAUGAUCUCAAUGCAAAAGAAAAGGGAAGAAGUUGGGAAAUAAGUGAGAUUGGUGAGGAAAAGAGUUGUGCUUAAAUGUUGAAUACUAUGGUAGCUCUCUUAACUCAAGGAUUUUGAUUUCCAGAAGAACUAAUUUUUCUUGUUAACCCAACCUCAUUACAAGCCUUGGAAAAGUCCUUUUGAUGGCAUUUGCAUGUGAGGAUUUUGAUUGUUUGAGAUGAUUGACAAUUUUGUUUCAUGUGACUUGUCAAUGAUAUAGAGUUGGAGUGUCACCACCUUAAACACUUCAGUGAUUGAGUGAAACACUUGCUUGGUGAGAAUUGCUAAAUUUCAUGAGUGCAUCUUUGCUUAGUGGAUUGGUCAUUUAUAAUGUGUAAC